This 468-nucleotide ribosomal RNA is filed under the name uncultured bacterium. RNAcentral describes it as "partial 16S ribosomal RNA". It matches the Rfam family "Bacterial small subunit ribosomal RNA", at positions 28 to 507 of the family's 1533-position model. The record is from RNAcentral.
GACGAACGCUGGCGGCGUGCUUAACACAUGCAAGUCGAACGGAAAGGCCCUGCUUUUGUGGGUUGCUCGAGUGGCGAACGGGUGAUUAACCCGUGAGUAACCUGCCCUUGACUUUGGGUUAACUUCAGGAAACUGGGGCUAAUACCGGAUAGGAGCUCCUGCUGCAUGGUGGGGGUUGGAAAGUUUCGGCGGUUGGGGAUGGACUCGCGGCUUAUCAGCUUGUUGGUGGGGUAGUGGCUUACCAAGGCUUUGACGGGUAGCCGGCCUGAGAGGGUGACCGGCCACAUUGGGACUGAGAUACGGCCCAGACUCCUACGGGAGGCAGCAGUGGGGAAUAUUGCACAAUGGGCGGAAGCCUGAUGCAGCAACGCCGCGUGCGGGAUGACGGCCUUCGGGUUGUAAACCGCUUUCGCCUGUGACGAAGCGUGAGUGACGGUAAUGGGUAAAGAAGCACCGGCUAACUACGUG